This 303-nucleotide ribosomal RNA is filed under the name uncultured Gammaproteobacteria bacterium. Its description in RNAcentral is "bacterial SSU rRNA". It matches the Rfam family "Bacterial small subunit ribosomal RNA", at positions 376 to 671 of the family's 1533-position model. Lineage: Bacteria; Pseudomonadati; Pseudomonadota; Gammaproteobacteria. The record is from RNAcentral.
CGCAAGCCUGAUCCAGCAAUGCCGCGUGCAGGAUGAAGGCCUUCGGGUUGUAAACUGCUUUUGUACGGAACGAAAAGCCCUGGGUUAAUACCCUGGGGUCAUGACGGUACCGUAAGAAUAAGCACCGGCUAACUACGUGCCAGCAGCCGCGGUAAUACGUAGGGUGCGAGCGUUAAUCGGAAUUACUGGGCGUAAAGCGUGCGCAGGCGGUUUUGUAAGACAGAGGUGAAAUCCCCGGGCUCAACCUGGGAACUGCCUUUGUGACUGCAAGGCUAGAGUACGGCAGAGGGGGAUGGAAUUCCG